UCCAUUGCAAUAACCUGCAGCUGGCAACCCUUAGCUCUUGACUGGUGAAGCUAAGCAGGGUUGAGCUUGUUCAGUACCUGGAUGGGAGACUUUCUGGGAAAGUUAAAGUAGCUGCUGGAA
Molecule: ribosomal RNA, 120 nt
Filed under: Sinocyclocheilus rhinocerous
Lineage: Eukaryota; Metazoa; Chordata; Actinopteri; Cypriniformes; Cyprinidae
Source: RNAcentral